UUUUUUUUUUUUUUUUUUGCUUUCUGUUUUUGUUUUUGUUUUUGUUUUAUUGCAGAAAUAGUGUUUUCUCCCUAUAAAUAGUGAUGAAGGAUUAUUGCUUUAUGGUUUUUCUGCAAACCUAAAACCACUGUGCUACCUCAAACUAUAGUGAGAAGCAACAAGACUUGUCCCCUCCCCCAUGGUGAGACUGUAGGUGAUUGGAGCACUGUGGCAGGCUUAGGGCCAGUUUAUCGCAGACAGCAAAGAGCCAUACUCUCUUUCUUUCUUUUUUAAAAGAGUUAUUUAUUUACUUAUGACUGCUCUAUCUUCAUGCACACCAGAAGAGGGAAUCAGAUCGCAUUACAGGUGGCUGUAAGCCGUGGUUGCUAGGACCUGAACUCAGGACUUCUGGAAUAAGCAGCCAGGGCUCUUAACUGCUGAGCCAUCUUCUCAGCCCAGAGAGCCAUACUCUUGAAGAGUAUUUUAUGGGUUGGGAGAUAGUUCAGUUUGUAAAGUGCUUUCCCUGCAGGCAUGAAGACCUGAGUUCUACUCCCAGCACCCACAUCAGAGCACUCAGUGAGUUGUAUGUGUACAUAAUACCAGCAUUAGGGACCAUGAGAUCUUGGGGGCUUGCCAGCUAGCCAGGCUAAAAGAAGUGAUGGGACCCUUUCUCAAAAACUAUAUGAAGGGACACCUGCAUCAAUCUCUGGCCUACACACGUGCAGACACACACACACACACACACACACACACACGCAUACACACAUACACUGACACAUGUAUAUAUACCUCACACACACACACACAGAGGGAAGAUAAUUAUUAAGUGUUUUUUAAGAUUUAUUUAUUAUUUAUGUGUAAGUACAUUGUAGGUGUCUUUAAACACACCAGUAGAGGGCGUCAGAUGUCAUUAUGGCUGGUUGUGAGCCACCAUGUGGUUGCUGGGAUUUGAACUCAGGACCUUUGGAAGAACCGUCGGUGCUCUUAACCGCUGAGCCAUCUCUCCAGCCCCUUAAGUGUUUUCUUGUAUGUUGAUUUUUUUUUUUAAUUACAUUUACUUUGUUUUCAUUUUGGUGAUUCUUUUCCUAUUUCAGAGUGUCUAGAGCAGGGAGAACAUUCUUGAAAGUCUCUCGGGACGCUGCACCCCUGACCAGUGUUCUCUUUAGACCCUGCUGGUUACGUGCGACACCCCUGACCAUUUGCACUAGUGAUGUGACCAGCUGCUGACUGACAAGAGGGUGCUAGAGAAGUGUUCAGUUUAACUUUGUCCUUGCAGGUUUCUAGAACAUUCCUACGAGCAUAACACUUCUUCCUUCUCCCCCAGGUGUGAAGCCCCUCCAGAAACACAGUAGCAUUUGAAAGACCAUCACUGGGCACUGCCCUCAUAAGAGGCGAGGCCUGCCCAGAAGGUGGACUGGGUUAUUAUAGUCAGAAUUCCUGUCCGUUCUGAUCUCCUCCCAGGCCUAAUGUGCUCACUUGCACCCCACCCCACCCCACCGCACCCCAAGAGACUGGUGCCACCAAAUUGCUCUUUCUGAGGAAGCGAGGGUCAGGACUGCCCUGGGUGGCACCUCAGUGGGCUCAGGUGGUUGGAGUCCUGUGACCUCUGCACACUCAAGGGCAGGGCAGGAGCACAUUUAUCUGGACGCGCUGGCGAGCCGCACCCAGAGCAAUGCUUUCUUUGCAGCAUGAGGCUGGUGUAGCCAGGCCGUGUUCACAGGACGCUCGUCAGCAAAUGGCUGACACUGUUGAGGAGAAACAGAAGGGAGCACUGGAAUUUACCCUCUUGUGGGGUAUGAAAGCUCACCAAGUGAUCCCCUUCCUGGGCUGGAGAUGGAACCCAGCUUCAUGUAUGCUAGUCACAUGCAGAUGAUAGGUUUCCUGAAUUCUUAUAUUUUACAUGUCUGAACGAUAGUUAAAGUCCCUCCACCCGAGAAGAAUAGUUAAGUCCCACUGUCUUUAAAGAGAAGGAAGUAAAUACUGACUGCUUGUAGAGCUCUUCACUUUUACCUUGCACCAAGAUUUGUUUUUGUAAGGUGUUGCUUAUCUGUUUUUAAGAGUUUUAUUCCAGAACCCUGGCUGGCCUCAAACUAAUUUCUUCUGCUUUAGCCCCUUGAAUGCUGGGAUUGUCAGGGAUUACCAUGCCUGCCACCAAUCCCCAGUUGAGCUAAAUAGGUACACUUUUAUUGACGUAUGCAUCUAUUGCCAACCCUGGAGGUUGAACGCAGCAUGUAACUACCAGUGAGCUCCACCGGCAGCGGAUGCUGUCUACUUUAGUUUGUGAAGGUUGAAUCAGUUUGAAAGGAACACGUUGUGAGAGUCCUGCUUGUGCACUGGUGUGUGUGUCUGUGUGUGUGUGCGUGCGUGUGUGUGUGUGUGUGUGUGUGUGUGUGUGUGUGUGUGCGCGCGCGCGCACGCACACGCGCGCCCAGGAAGGUCCUAAAUGAAACAGUGUAAGCAGUGCAUAAGCUCGGCUCCCGAGGCUCUCACAGACGUGGUCUGGCAGAGCAGCCACUGGAGUAUGGUCUUCCUGCCCGCCUGUAGGGUGAAAGGUGUCAGAGGCAUCAAGGCGCUGGAGUCACAGUCCAGGCUGAUGCUGAGAGAUCUGUGCAGAGCACGGCCUGUUGGCCAUGAGAGCACAGAAAUGGCCUGCUCUGCUGUGCGCUCACUCAUACAGCACAGAAGUGGCCUUUGUCUUGCUGGAGGCUCUGCAGACCCUGCUAUUCCUUAGUUGCUGCACUGAUAUAAACAGUUAGCUGCCAUACUAGGGAAGGUGUCACAUACCCGCAGUCACAGUGCACGAAGGCUGAGGCAGGAGGAUCACAAGUUUGAGGCCAGUGGGGGCUAUCUGUCAGGACUCUCCCCCCCCCCCCAUUAAAAAAAAACAAACC
RNAcentral lists this long non-coding RNA (2870 nucleotides) under Mus musculus (house mouse). RNAcentral describes it as "long non-coding RNA chr4:125103927-125106797". Lineage: Eukaryota; Metazoa; Chordata; Mammalia; Rodentia; Muridae. The record is from RNAcentral.